This is an RNA transcript of Leopardus geoffroyi (Geoffroy's cat), 1122 nucleotides long. RefSeq lists it as uncharacterized. The transcript is spliced from 4 exons. Lineage: Eukaryota; Metazoa; Chordata; Mammalia; Carnivora; Felidae. The record is from RefSeq and is a predicted model, not a curated record.
AGUGGAGAGGGGUGUGGGGGCCAGGUCAGCAGGGUGGGGGUCUGUCUCGUUUCCCUCUUGCCCCCGGGUCUCCAUACCCGCUGCGUCCAGCCGCCCUGCCUGGGUGGAGUGGCCGUGGCCCCAAGCCUAAGAGGAUAUGGGGGUCACUGAGGGGGCGGUGGAGAUCGGACACGUGCGACCCCAGGUGUCGUGGGCUCCUGCCGCGAGGUGGUCCCGUGCGCGCAGUCCCAUGGUCCCGGUGCACCUGCGCAGGCUCCACCUGCCUCGACCUUUGGGGGGAGCACCUCCCCGCCCCCAAGGCUCCCGCGCCACGUCCUGCCCAAAGGUGGGAGCCAGGGGCCACUCUGGCCGGACUGGUGAAGCUCCUCCUCCAAGCGCUCAUGGAACAGUCGGGAAACUGAGGCCAGGAGAGGCAGGGACUGGCCGGGGACCCGCCAGACGGUGGGUCCGGUCUCACCCCCGAAGCCUCUGGUCACGUGCCCGGAGGGACGCAAAGGUGACACCGGGAGGCCCAGGACUGGCCACUCUAGCCUGACACGGCCCUGAUCCGACUGAAAUCAACCGAUGAAAUCGGGAAACGUCUGGCCGAAUCCCGAUACACCUGCCCUACAGAGUUGUGCGUGUGCCCCGUUGGCCAAGAGGGCCAUCCUGGACCGAGGGAGAGAGUGGCUGCAGGGAGGUCUUGGGAAGCAGAGCCUGGAGAUGACCUGGGAAGGCCUCCUUCACCGCCCCGGCUCCCCCACAGGGUCCUGGUUCACGGGUCCUGGGAACAGGACCCGGAGCCCCCGGAGCCAGAGCCCGAGGAGUCCGGGACAGGAGCAGAAGCCGGUGCGGCGCCAGAGCCCGACCCAAGGGCAUCGGGGUCCUCGGCGUCUCUGCAGGCAGGGGUGGAGUCUGGGGCGACUCCUGCAGGGGCUGGAGAGCCAGCAGGUGACCUGGGACCUGUGCUGGGACAGCAAGCACCUGAACAGAGUCAGCUGGUUCCUGCUUCUGCUCCCGACACUGUUCCUGCCACCGCCCUUGUUCCCCUGUGGAUUCCGGCCACAAAUCCAGGGCUCAAAGGCCUUCGAGGGGUGUUUCUUGUAUUUCUAAUUGUUGCUCCAGUCCCAGUCCCCGACCCCU